This is a long non-coding RNA of Vespula pensylvanica (western yellowjacket), 2995 nucleotides long. RefSeq lists it as uncharacterized. The record is from RefSeq and is a predicted model, not a curated record. Lineage: Eukaryota; Metazoa; Arthropoda; Insecta; Hymenoptera; Vespidae. The transcript is spliced from 2 exons.
ACUGCACAAAAUAAAAUCUUUUUAAAUAAGUUUGUACCAAAGAAAUAAAAUUAAGAGUUUAUAAAAAACAAAUAAAAUGAAAAAGGUGUGUGUGUGUGUGUGUGUGUGUGUGUUUGGUGUGGUGUGAUGUGUGACUAAAUUUUAAGAAAAAUAUUACCUUUUACACUUACCGUGCAAGGCUAUUUAUUGCAGCAUGAAAGAUUAUGAAGUGUAAAUCCAUUACAAUUGGAGUAAAUAGAGGAAAAAUUAUCUAACAUAUUUGUAUUUCCAAAAACAAUGUAUAUAUAUCUAUUUAUAAUACAUGCUGUAGACAUUAUAUCGUUAAUCUUUCAAUUAAGAAACUUGCACUUAUUACUUUCAUAAAGUGAAAUUUAUCCAUAUAAAAAUAAGGAUUUAUUUAUCAAUUUUCUAGCAACCGCAAUCAUGUAUUUUAUGAUAGGAAUGAUCACGAAAAAAGAAACCUUUAUAGAUCUUGUAUUAUCAACUUUGCAUUUGUAUAAGUUCUAAAAUGUGAGGAAAUGAUAAAGUACUUGGAACAUAUAUGUAUGUGUUAAUAAAAAUAUAUACAUGGGUCACAAAUAACAUUGGAUUUUCAUGCAGCACAAACAGAAAUAUCAUUACUAUGUAAUCAAACAAAUAGCUUUCAGAUAGAAGAGAUGCACAAAUAUAAAGGCAUUAAGUGCAGAAAGAAGUAAAUAUCCCAAUAAUAAAUCACAUAGACUGGUGCACUCUACCUUCCCAAUCCUGAAGCUGUUCGCAUGAAAUCAUCCGCAUGAGGUGACCAGAGCAGCAAUAAUAACAUGUUAUUUAUGAUGCAUUUAAUGCAGGGAUAUACGAAAAAUACAUGAAAUAGAAGAGAUAAAAAUAUAGAACACGUGAAUAUGUAUCAAUCCGAUCAAUUGCGAAUGUAAAUACAGUGAAUGUUUGCAUGUAACAAGACUUUAUGUAAAGUAGAACAAAGGGCUUAGACUAACAGUUGAUAAUAAUUUAGUUUACCAUAGAUCUCGGUCAAAGAUUGUAGCUCCGUUAGAAGUAAGUCGUAUAUAUAAUGAAAUAAGUUGUUGGCAAUAUCGAAUAUCAGUAAUUAUUAUUUUUAUCUCUUUUACAGCAUAUCGAAGUUAAAAAAAAAAAUCCUGUUGGUCACUAUGAAUAUAUAAAUAAUUAAUUACGCUCAGCGAAGAAAUAAAAGUACCUUCUUACCUGACGAGAGGCCCUAUUGUGCUAUCUUGGGGAAGUGAUUGCAGAAGCGAAGGUCCUGCCGAUACUGGUCGUAUCUAUAUUAAAAAGUGACUAAUUAACUGAUAUUAUUUAAUUACUACGUUCUGCAUCACGCAAUGAAUAGAAACAAAUAUACCUUUUCGGUUUGCGUGGCAGCAUUGCACAUAUCCACGAGUAAAGAUUUAUUAAAAUUGGCUGACGGAGUAUUACUUUCCAUAUCUGCACCGUUUGAAGCUUUGAGUUUUGUCAUUUGAAACUGAAAUGUAAUAUAAACCCAAUCGGUAGAACAUUUUUCUGUUUGCAUCAAUGAAGUUAAACAAACAUCAGAUAGUAUAAAAUUUACCUGAAGUAUUUGUAUAGUUCUAUCUCUAUCCUCUACUUGACCUUGCAAGAAGACCACCUGUCUACGUAAAUCCGUCAGCUCAUCGGCGAUACUGCUUCCUCCGCUGCCUGGAGACGUGCUAACAUCCGCUGUACCACCUUCGUUCAGGGUGUAGAAGAGACCAUUCUACGCGUAUAUAACAUGAGACGACAUGGAAAUCGCUUACCGAUAGUGGAUACAAUUGUUAUUGGGCAAUUAACGAUAUUAGCGUUAAAUAUUUUACUGACCUUUACAGUAUUAUCGAAUGGGUUGAGAGCCUCCGGCUGAAAAAUAAAACGUGCGAGGUCAUAUAUUGAUGUAGAUUAUAAUCUGACAUUUUUAGCUAAAAUACGUGAUAAAACAUACAGACUUAUAGAUAGAGUUUAACUUAAAAAAAGAAAAAAGAACAUAAGGACAUAACGAAUGCAACGUACCCUCGUCAAACUGUUCUCUCCUGACUUGAAACGUAAAAUGAAGGAUGACCGUACAAUAAUGAAAAAUAAAAAAGGAGUGUUAAUCGAAAAACAAACGAAACAACAACAAAAGCAUAAAAAAUAAAGAGACAUUCGACGUUGAGAAAUGAUCGAUUUUUGUUUUAAAUACCAAGUCGUGCAAAGGCUAGAUAGAAAAAAAGAAACAAAUUAAAAGGCAACGUUAACCAUCGUACCUCCUGAAGUACUCUUUUUAGUUUUAAGAGCAUAGUCUUAAGAGAGACAAUGUCUUGAAACAUGUACUGAAAGGUAGCACGGUCGAUCCUGAUGGUUGUGUCGUCGCUCGAGUCGAAACUGGGAGAUGGUAUCUAAAAUCAAAAUUAUAUCGAGAUAGAUCUAACCGAGCUAUUACAUCUUCCUUUUUACGUUUUAUUCGUCUUGGCAAAACACUCACACUUCUUGGUGUUCUUAGAGGACUUGGUAUCUGACGACUACGAAUGCUAUCCAACGAACGUGGAGACUCUGCACCGGACCUGCUUCGCAAUAAUCUUGAGUUUCUCCCAUUUGUGAUUCUGAAAUCAAUUACAAAGUAAGCGAUCAUUUUUUAUCAUUCACUCGUAUCGUGUUCUUUCGAGAGAUCGUUAUAUUUUAUAUUGCAUUAUUUUAUAUCGAGAUACCAAAUUAUUAUAUUUUAGAAAACUCGAAUAAACGAAGUGGAACCAUUUGAAAAAAUGUUACACCUUACAAAAAUUAAGUCGAUCGUGAGAAUUCUCGCGAAGUGGAAUUAUAGGUAAUGUUGAUAUUCGUGCAAAAAGAUACCUUCGCAACAUGCAAACGUGGGAUAAAACGCAGGAACGAUCAAAAUUUCGCUGCAACAUAGAAAACUUGGAUAAACUACCAACAUGCUUGCGAUUUUAUUCUUGAUCAUUUCUCCGCUAAAAAGUUUUUAUAUUCAAUAAUGUACGAUAAUAUUUCUUAAAAAGAA